UUUUUUUUUUUUUUUUUUUUUUUUAAGGGCUGCACGCGUGAAGCACAUGGAGGUUCCCAGGCUAGGGGUCAAAUCGGAGCUGCGGCUGCCGGCCUACACCACAGCCACAACAACGCUUGGGAUCCAAGCCACAUCUGUGACCUACACCACAGCUCAUGGCAAUGCCCAAUCUUUCACCCACUGAGCGAGGCCAGGGAUCGAACCUUCCUCCUCACGGAUACUAGUCGGGCUUGUUACCGCUGAGCCACGAUGGGAACUCCAAGCAGUAGUAUUUAAAGCCAACAUCCGUGUGGAGAAGUGGAGAUAAACCAGGAAAGGAUAAUAAAUGAGGGACUCUCUGCUCAACAACCCCUUUUGGGCUGGGGCAUGCCACUUCUCAGAGGGUGGGCUCGCUGUUUUGAUGACAUCACUUUGGUCAGUGAGGACGGAUCUGGGCCCUGGUGAAAUGUGUUCUUGGAGGCUGAGACUGACGCUCUGAAAGGGAGGCUGUGGCACCACACCUGGAAUCCAGCUCUCACGACAUCUGCUCUAAGGGGUGGAUUCCAACCUUCUUCUCUGGGAGAGGUUCAAUUUCCUGACGCCACCUUUGUCUCUGAAAAGUGUUGCCUACCAAAUAUUUUUAAGAAAAGGUGGAUUUCGAUUCAUUUUCCCAUAGGAUUGGCUUCAGAAAGUCUCAGUAAUCUUGUGCUCUCUAGAACUACCCAAGGAGCCCUCCAAACCAGAAAAAAUAGAAUUCGGGUCAUUCUGAACAAUUUCCCCACAGCCUUUGCUGAGACACCUGUGAAUCAAGACUUGGUUAAAUUGUCACUGCUCAUUGAUCACCUGUGAAAAAAGCAAAGUGCUUUGUGUACCAGGGAUAGAUAUAUAAAAACUCUUGCUUGGUAGGCCAGAAUUACCAUUUGUCAUGUUUCUCUCUUUCUUUUUAAAAUCAUAUGAGUAAUUGUAUUCAUUUUUUAAUUUUGUUUUUGUUGUUUUUUCUAUUGUGGCUACCUUGCGGCAUAUGUACUUCCCAGGCCAAGGAUCAAGUUCAGAUCUGAACUUACAACCUACGCUGCGGCUCUGGCGAUGCUGAAUCCUUUAACUCACCCUGCCUGGCCUGGAUCGAACCUGCAUCCUGGCGCUACAGAGACACCUCAGAUCCAGUUGUGCCACCGUGGGAACUCCUUGUCAUAUUUCUUAAAGCCACAACACAUUGACUCAUAACUGAUACAGUCACUCAUUCAUUUAUUUAUGAAUAAAUCACAAUCGACCGCCUCCGAUUGGUUAAGACGUUGGGGGCCUUGUGAAGCUUCAGGAUGUCAAGGUAGCACUUGGAAUUGUAGAACUGGCCAUACCGAGGGCUGUGAACAGUUUGACUGAGCCGUAGUUAUUCCACUUACAUGGAAGCAAACAGUGUCUGUUAGAAUAAUAGCUUAAAAGUGGUGAGGUGUGACUUCAAACAGAUUAGAUCAAAAUUUCAAAAUUUGGUCUUGUCUGUUCAUUUUUUAAAGCAAGGGACGGCGGAGAAGAUGGUGGAUCUUGCACUUUCAUACGAAGCGUAUUUUUAUGUAAAGAAGAUGGAGUUUUACUUAUCCUUGUAAAUAUUUCAUAUUGUAGGUAAUCAUGAUAGGAGGUGUUUUCUAAUUUUCGACUUAAGAGCCGUAAAGAUUAGAGUCUAUGACAUUGAGGAAUUGUAAGAGCCUCCAGGGAUGUUUCAGAUAUAAGAAAGUGCAGCGAGCCUGUCCGUAUAACUGAUCACACGUCAACCUGGCUGCUUAUUCAGAAAUCAAUGCCACUCGCAGAUACGGAGGCACAGUUUCUGAGGCAAAGGGGAUGGAAUAAAAGAUACACUGUAGCUAUCUGGUGGCGUUGAGUUUUCAGAUCUCCCAAUAGGCUACAUUUAGAGAGAGAAAGGAAGCCUGGGUCAUUGUUCCCGUCACAUGAAAUGGUUUAAGUGCAUAGAGAAAUACAUCAGCAAGAGUGAAGAAUUAUAAGAAAGGAUGCCAAUUGCUUCAAAGUCUUUAGCCCAGGAUUACGCUCAUAUAAAGUUGAGCUCCUACAUUCUUGUAAAAAGGCAUCCGGAUGGGAUGUCUCUGGUCUCAGUCAGCGGAGUCUACUGGUUCCCUGAGAAAGUGUAAUGACCCCCAGCCCAGCCAGUUCUCACUCCAUUUUAAUCUCCUCUCCUCCUCCUGUUACUUUCAGUAGAUUCUAAAUUCCAAAGUGUCUGUUCUAUUCAUCGGAAUCUUAGUGCAAUUUGAAAAUAAUUUGGGGAGUUACCAUGGUGGUGCAGCAGAAACGAAUCCGACUAUUAUCCAUGAGGAUGCGGGUUCAAUCCCUGGCCUCGCUCAGUGGGUUAAGGAUCCCACGUUGCUGUGGCUGUGGUGGAGGCCGGCAGCUGUAGCUCCGAUUCGACCCCUAACCUGGGAACUUCCCUGUCCUGCAAGUGCGGCCCUAAAAAGCAAAUAAAUAAAUAAGUAAAUAAAUAAAAUAAUUUUAUCCAUUUCAUUGUUCAUAGAUUCUAUAUAACAUAACGUCCAACAACAGGCCUCCCUCACUUUGCAUUUCAAAUGUGCUUCUGAGAAGCUGUAAACUGAAUGAUAUGUUCCGUGCAUUCAGGAAACUAAUGAUUUGAAAGCACACUAUGGCGAAUUCUUCUGUAAUUCAGGUGUUAGGUAAGCUCGUGGUUCCCUGGAUUGGAUUUUAUUAAACCAGAGUGUUUUUAGUACUAGCACUGAUGCAAGACAUAAUUCACACCAGACGCUGAAUGUUCAAUGAAAGCCGCUGAAGCAUAGACUAUUUAAAUGGCGAAAAAGAUACUUUCACCUUUAAAAGAUGUUUAAACACCUGCUUGUAUUGCAAAAUUAGCUUAAAGUCAAGUUCACGUCUGCGUAUAUGUAUCCUCUUUCUGAUUUUGAAAAUUGAACCCAUCUUUCUAGUUGGGCUCAUAUGGGGGAUUCUCAAAGCAGGGGAUUGCCCAGGUAACUUUAUCUUUUUUUUUAAUAGUCCAGACAAAGGAAUUAAAAAAAAAAACAAAAAAACCUUUUCACACAUGGCCAAAAAGUAAAAUAAAACCUUAAAGAUCAUUGUUCUCAUAACUAUUAUUUCCUCCCCAUUUUGUUAACUAAAUUGAUGUUUUUGCGGUAACUAGAUUGCAAAAUACUUUUAAAAAGUAACCAGAAGCCCUUGUCAGAACUUUGUUUACAAAAUGAGCAAAAACUGUGAACUAAUCUGCACAGCAGCACAGUGAAGACACCCCAUUUAGGGGAGAUGGCUUUAAAACUCUCUGUUUUUAUACCCUUCUACAUUUAUCUUAUCAAUAAAAUAUGAGACAAAAACAUACUAUCAUUGUAACCUAAGGGAUCAUUUUAUUAUUUUCUGUUUUUUUUUUUUUUAAAUUUCAAAUUUGUUUCUAAAGGAGCUUGAAUUAAUCCAUCUAAAAAAGAUUUAUUUCUACUUUGUGUUUUUUUCUUUUCUUUCUUUCUUUUUUUUUUCCACUGCACCUGCAGCAUGUAGAAGUUUCUGGGCCAGGGAUCCAGCCCUCACCACAGCAGUAACCCAGGCCACUGCAGCAAUGCCAAAUCCUUAACCCCCUGAGUCACCACAAGGGGAAUCCUACGCUGUGUUUUUUGAUACUGUGAUUCACACCGUGAUGAGUGUGGCAUUGGAACCUACCUUCAGAGAGCAUAUUAUCAGUCUACUGGGAAAAAGAAAGCAUGCAUAUAAAUAACACAGUAUUACUGCUAUUGGGUGAGGUAGGGAGAGCGCCAGAAAAGGGAGAAGUUAUCCACAGCUGGAGGAAAGCAUUCUCACAUCCGUGGGGGAAGCAUUCUCACUGGGAAACAUCCUGUGGCAAAGGCUCAAGUGACCCAGGUAGAGGUCCUCCGAGAGGCAAGUAUGCUAUUUCUUUGAAGUAUUGACUGGAAUAAAUGGGGGGGUGGUGGAAUUCAGAUCACACGGGGCUGUGAAUGCCAGGCCGAACAAAUUAAACCAUCUUCUACGCAGUGGGUAGUUACAGAAGAGUUUUGAGCACCGGAGGGUUAUGGUACAAUGGAUGUUUCAAGAAAAUGACUCCUACACGGGUGUAAAUCAUGGAUGGAGAGGAGAGGAAGGGAGCUUCAGAGACUGUGGAGGCAGCCAGAGGAUGUCACCGCCAUUCAGAUGGGAGGAGGUGAGAAUGUGAAUCAGAAAGGGCAGAUCCAGGCAGGACAACCCCACCCUGAGAAGGGAAGGGUUGGAUGGUUCUGGGAAGGGAGCCUGUCGCAGGGCAGGUGGAGGGGGAAGGCAUUUAGGUAUUCACCUCCCUGCCUGGGAGAGUGAGGGUAGCUUCCAAUGAACAGAAAUGGGAAAAACAGGCCCAGAAGGAGGCUUGGGAGUAAAAUACUAAUUCCACAAAUUUGUAAUCUAGGCCCUACACAAUGUUUGAGGGAGGUGUUUCGUACUUUCUGCAAAAAAAAUACAGUGAUUUCCACAAUUUCUUAUUUAGGCAUUUACAUAUUUAGGUCGUUUUUUCCUUCCUAAAUUAAUACAAGAAUUUAAUUAAUUUAUCAAAUCACGUUGCUGGCAAGUCCCGAAUAUUCGGCACGCAUACUGUUACCCUUCAUAGAUUUUUGCCAUGACUCAGUGCCCCAAUUCCUAACAACUAAACUCUUUAAUUAAAGAAAAUAAUGAAAUGAGUGUAGCUUGCGUUCUCCUUUUUAAAACUCAGUAAUCCAUGUGAUAUGAUCCCUUGUUUUAGAGUUAUUUAAAAAUUAUGUGGACGUUCCCGUUGUGGAGUUCCCGUUGAGGCCCUGCAGACAUGAAUCCGACUAGUACCCAUGAGAAUAUGGGUCUGAUCCCUGGCCUCCCUCAGUAGGUUAAGGCUCCAAUGUUGCUGUGAGCUGUGGUGUAGGUCACAGACAUGGCUGUGGCUGCGGUGUUGGCUGGCAGCUGUAUCUCCGAUUUGACCCCCUAGCCUGGGAACUUCCAUAGGCCGUGGGUGCAGCCCUAAAAAGCAAAAAAUAAAAA
This 4983-nucleotide long non-coding RNA is filed under the name Sus scrofa (pig). Its description in RNAcentral is "lncRNA (ENSSSCG00055024606.1)". Lineage: Eukaryota; Metazoa; Chordata; Mammalia; Artiodactyla; Suidae. The record is from RNAcentral.